GUUGGUUUAAUCUAUUCAUAUCUUUAUUUAUGUUUACAUCGCUUAUAUAGUCAUCUGAGGUCAAAUCGAUAGGUAAUUAGAUGGCGUCUGGACUAAAAUACACACGAAACGAACCUAUAUAUUAUCUACCCUAUGCUCUGUAAACUGUUUAUUUUAGACUUUUGAUAGUUUGGAUAAAUGUUUUACAUUGUUAUAAAUCAAAUAUGAGAAUUUGAGUCAAAUCGGUGACCAUGAAUUUGACAGCUAGUGCCCCUUUAAGUAUGUCUUAAUGUAGUAGCAUACAUGUGGGAGAUUUGGAAUGCUUUUAAAUAUUUCUGGAUCAAACACUAUUACAGGAAAAUACAAAAAGUAAUAAGGUAUAAAUAUAAAUCUUAGCUUAAUCUGUAGACUGGACAGAUGUUUAUAAUCUGCUGUUCCACUGUCUCAACUGUUGUUAUUUUCACUAUUCUCAAAUUCAGCAGUGCAAUUUUUUUUCUCAAGCAGGUGACAGCAUA
This 494-nucleotide long non-coding RNA is filed under the name Mytilus galloprovincialis (Mediterranean mussel). Lineage: Eukaryota; Metazoa; Mollusca; Bivalvia; Mytilida; Mytilidae. The record is from RNAcentral.